GCGCUUGCUUCCACAGCACGCAUACUAAGAUUGGAACAAUGUGGAGAUUAGCAUGGCCCCUGUGCAAGGAUGACACACGAAUUUGUGAAGCAUUCCAGAUUUUU
RNAcentral lists this small nuclear RNA (104 nucleotides) under Jaculus jaculus (lesser Egyptian jerboa). The record is from RNAcentral. Lineage: Eukaryota; Metazoa; Chordata; Mammalia; Rodentia; Dipodidae.